UGCGUAGGCGGGCUAAUAAGUCAGUGGUGAAAUCUCUCGGCUCAACCGGGAAACUGCCAUUGAUACUGUUAGUCUUGAGUUCGGUUGAGGUAGGCGGAAUGUGUAAUGUAGCGGUGAAAUGCUUAGAUAUUACACAGAACACCAAUUGCGUAGGCAGCUUACUAGACCGACACUGACGCUGAGGCACGAAAGCGUUGGGAGCGAACAGGAUUAGAUACCCUGGUAGUCC
RNAcentral lists this ribosomal RNA (229 nucleotides) under uncultured bacterium. Its description in RNAcentral is "partial 16S ribosomal RNA". It matches the Rfam family "Bacterial small subunit ribosomal RNA", at positions 568 to 796 of the family's 1533-position model. The record is from RNAcentral.